This 305-nucleotide unclassified non-coding RNA is filed under the name Hevea brasiliensis (rubber tree). The record is from RNAcentral. Lineage: Eukaryota; Viridiplantae; Streptophyta; Magnoliopsida; Malpighiales; Euphorbiaceae.
GGAAGCUGUAAAUAACACUAAUAAUUCAUCACAUGGAAAUUUCAAUUCCAGUUUUAUACUUCUUGACGUGAGAAACGGUUAUGAAUGGGAUGUUGGCCAUUUUCAAGGCGCUCAGCGGCCGGAUGUUGAUUGUUUUCGGGCCACUUCAUUUGGGCAAUCUGAGUCAGAGGUGAUUGCCUCAGAUCCUUUAGCAGCUGUUGAUAAGGAGAGAACUGAUAUAUUAAUGUACUGCACUGGAGGUAUCCGCUGUGAUGUAUAUUCUGCUAUACUACGUAAGCAAGGUUUUAAGCGAUUAUAUACCUUGA